RNAcentral lists this long non-coding RNA (877 nucleotides) under Volvox carteri. RNAcentral's name for it is "long non-coding RNA (VCAR_LNC002078)". Lineage: Eukaryota; Viridiplantae; Chlorophyta; Chlorophyceae; Chlamydomonadales; Volvocaceae. The record is from RNAcentral.
GCAACUUCAUCAACAGGUGCGAUGGGAGGCAGGCGGCAACGGCCUGGUUUGGGGUCGGUGGGGUGGGGGUUGCGGAAGGCAGGUAGGUGUGCGGCUGGGCGUGGUUCAGGCGGCUUUUGGUCCCCGGAGAAGAGGGAACGCGGGUAAAUGUGGGUGGGUGGGUGGGGGUUCAAGGCGACAAGGUACACACAGAGCCCUCCCUCCGCGCCCGGUGCGGCCCCUGUCCGUCAGGUCGCUGAUGUUCGUGGCCAAGUUCUUCGAGGGGGUGAUUCCGGGGGCUACGGAGGCGGGGCUGGCGGAGGCGGAGGAGCUGGGCAAGACUGUGGGGCCCAAGGUGAGGGGAUGGGGAUAGAUGUGGAGAUGGGGGGAUGGCUACUGCGUAGAUAGCCUCAGACACUGUAUGUGGAGUGUUUGGACUGGAUCCAGGCCUUGCGUUUCCUCCUGCACGUCCGCACCUCAAUCCCCCCCCCACACACACACCUCACUCCCUCACCCCCGUACGCUCUCCAUCCCUCACCCCCAGGUUGAGGAGUACAUAUCCGCGCUGGAGCGCAUUAAGCUGAAGGAGGGCCUGAGGCUGGUCAUGUCCAUAUCGGCGGAUGGAAACAAGUUCCUGCAGGUGGGGAGUCCAGUCCAGGGAGGGAGGGAAGGGUUAGGCAGGAAUGAAGGGAAGGGUUAGGCAGGAAUGAAGGGGGCCGGGGAAGAGGAAAUAAAGUAGUAAGCGUGUUAGACGGGGGCCGGCAGUGGUCUUCGGCUCGGUCAGGUUCUGUCCUUUUGAGUCCUGGUCCAGGACCUUUACAGUGGCUGUGGACCUCACCAUUGGUGGUGAUAAAGGUGUGGAUGAGUCGUGUAGCUGCCCCACCGUGCCAAUCGCCUU